AAGCAAAUACAUGUAAAGUACUUAAUCCUCUUUAUUACCUUAUAAUUUAGUAAAUAUUUCUCAUAGAAGAGAGGUAUAGAACAAUAAAUUUUAUGUAAAAUACGUAUAGUUUAGUUUCAGAAAAAGUUAUGAAAACGAUGGGUGUGCUUCGUAGAUUUAUGUUUAUUAUCUUCGGAAUAUUAUUCAUUGUGUUUGGUACUCGCUCAGAAUGUGUGACUUCAAAAGGAAUACAGUGUGUUAACAAAACAACGUACCAAGAAUGCUGGUCUGUUCUACUUGUUCCUGUUUAUGGAGACAUAUUUAACUGUCCAAAUAAGACAACUUGUUCUGAAGAUGUUGGCUCUGAUAUAUGCGUUGCGGUUCCAAAGACGUGGUGGUGUUGGAUUACGUUCUUUCUGUGUUAACCACAAGACGAUCUACUCAUAAUUUAGUAAUAACAAUGUUUACAGUAUAUUUUUAAGGGGUCUACAAUGGACAUAAUUGCAAAAAUACAAAUAGGUAUCUGUUGUUGAAAAAUAUUUACUAAUUUACUUACUAAAAUUUACUAUAAUAAAUGUAUAUAAAAUAUCUUUAAAAUAAUACUUGAAAACAAAUAAUUUUGUAAUAAUCCAUUAGGAUAUAGGUUAUAAAUAAUUUUAAGAUUAUAAAUAAUUUAAAUUGUAAAUAAUAUGUGAAGUUAAAAAUACCCACUUAAUAAAUGUAAUUACUUUAAAUCAUACUGUACAUACAUUUGUUAUUUAAUUAUAUAAACCCAAGGAUUAAUAUAGAGAUAAAACAUA
This is a long non-coding RNA of Sitophilus oryzae (rice weevil), 779 nucleotides long. RefSeq lists it as uncharacterized. NCBI's taxonomy places the organism in Eukaryota, Metazoa, Arthropoda, Insecta, Coleoptera, Curculionidae. The record is from RefSeq and is a predicted model, not a curated record. The transcript has 3 exons.